Molecule: ribosomal RNA, 253 nt
Filed under: uncultured bacterium
Lineage: Bacteria
Description: partial 16S ribosomal RNA
Rfam family: Bacterial small subunit ribosomal RNA
Source: RNAcentral
UACGGAGGGUGCAAGCGUUGUCCGGAAUCAUUGGGUGUAAAGGGUGCGUAGGCUGGCGCCUAAGUCUGGGGUGAAAUCUUGCCGCUUAACGGUAAAAUUGCCUUGGAUACUGGGUGCCUUGAAUCUGACAGAGGUCGGUGGAAUUCGUGGUGUAGCGGUGAAAUGCAUAGAUAUCACGAAGAACACCAGUGGCGAAGGCGGCCGGCUGGGUCAGUAUUGACGCUGAGGCACGAGAGCGUGGGGAGCGAACAGG